RNAcentral lists this ribosomal RNA (253 nucleotides) under uncultured bacterium. Its description in RNAcentral is "partial 16S ribosomal RNA". It matches the Rfam family "Bacterial small subunit ribosomal RNA", at positions 524 to 776 of the family's 1533-position model. The record is from RNAcentral.
GACGAACCGUGCGAACGUUAUUCGGAAUCAUUGGGCGUAAAGGGUGCGUAGGUGGCGCGAUAAGUCGGGUGUGAAAUCUCGGAGCUUAACUCCGAAAUUGCAUUCGAUACUGCCGUGCUCGAGGACUGGAGAGGAGACUGGAAUUCAUGGUGUAGCAGUGAAAUGCGUAGAGAUCAUGAGGAAGACCAGUGGCGAAGGCGGGUCUCUGGACAGUUCCUGACACUGAGGCACGAAGGCCAGGGGAGCAAACGGG